Molecule: ribosomal RNA, 253 nt
Filed under: uncultured prokaryote
Description: partial 16S ribosomal RNA
Rfam family: Bacterial small subunit ribosomal RNA
Source: RNAcentral
ACGUAGGGGGCUAGCGUUGUCCGGAUUUAUUGGGCGUAAAGAGCGUGUAGGCGGCCAGGUAGGUCUGCUGUGAAAACUCGAGGCUCAACCUCGAGACGUCGGCGGAAACCAUCUGGCUAGAGUCCGGAAGAGGAGAGUGGAAUUCCUGGUGUAGCGGUGAAAUGCGUAGAUAUCAGGAGGAACACCGGUGGUGUAGGCGGCUUGCUGGACCAUAACUGACGCUGAGGCACGAAAGCGUGGGGAGCAAACAGGA